GUCUACAUUCAGGUGACCAAGGCGAUGAUUCAGCCAGGGGACUUGACAACGUCCUGCACAACUCAGACAUAGACAUUGGCAAGAUCGAGGAAGAUGUCAUGGCCGCUACAACCGGAGAAUUGGUCGACUACACAGAAACCGUCAACCUCGAACCACUUAACGGCAUGGAGUUCGACUCACACGGCGAAGCGUACGCCUUCUACCAAGAGUACUCACGUGCCAUAGGGUUCAACACCGCGAUACAGAACAGUCGUAGGUCCAAGACCACGAGGGAGUUUAUUGACGCUAAGUUCGCUUGCUCUAGGUACGGUACUAAAAGAGAGUAUGAGAACAAGUCCUGUAACAGGCCGCGAGCUAGGCAGAGCAAGCAGGAUCAUCCUGAGAGUAAUAUGGCUGGUGGUUGUAGGAGGACUUGCGCGAAAACCGAUUGUAAAGCGAGUAUGCAUGUUAAGAGAAGGUCUAAUGGGAAGUGGGUGAUUCAUAGCUUCGUGAGGGAGCAUAACCACGAGCUUGUGCCUGCGCAAGCUGUGACUGAACAGGCGAGGAGGAUCUACGCUGCUAUGGCUAAGCAGUUCGCUGAGUACAAAACUGUCGUCGGGUUAAAAAGUGAUGCGAAGAGUUUAGGUCGGAGUUUGUCAGUGGUGGAGACAGGAGAUUUCAAAGCUCUGCUUGAGUUCUUGUCGCGGAUGCAGAACUUCUUUUACGCGGUGGAUCUCGGCGAUGAUCAGCGAGUGAAGAAUGUGUUUUGGGUGGAUGCGAAGAGCAGGGGCAGCUAUGUUAGUUUCUGUGAUGUUGUUUCUCUUGAUACUACCUACGUGAGAAGCAAGUACAAGACGCCGCUUGCUGUUUUCGUCGGUGUGAAUCAACACUAUCAGUACAUGGUCCUUGGGUGCGCUUUGCUAUCCGACGAGAGCGCAGCUACGUUCUCUUGGUUGAUGGAGACGUGGCUGAAAGCAAUGGGUGGACAGGCUCCAAAGGUUUUGAUCACUGAGCAAGAGGCGGUAAUGAACUCCAUCGUUCCUGUAAUCUUCCCAAACACUCGGCAUUGCGUUUUCCUCUGGCAUGUGUUGGUUAAAGUCUCUGAGAAUCUUGCCCACGUUGCUAAGCAGCAUGAAGAUUUUAUGCCAAAGUUUGAGAAGUGCAUUUAUAAAUCAUGGAAGGAGGAAGACUUUGCGAGGAGAUGGUGGAAGAUUCUUGCUAAAUUCGGCCUCAAGGAAGAUCAGUGGAUGCAGUCUUUAUACGAAGACCGGAGGAAAUGGGCGCCGACCUACAUGACUACAUAAUAAAAAGUAUAGCAUACCAUAUUUACUAUAUGUCACCAUUUAAACGAUAACUAAAAUUAUUUGUUUUACAUUAACCGCAGUUAUUACAUAAUAUACAUUUUUAUAUGAAUUACACUUAAACGAUACCGUAUUAUCUAUUUUUUUUAUUUGCAUUAUAUAAUAAAUUGUUCCUAUAAAAAGUAUACAUGUAUUAUAUAUCAACCACAUUUAUUAUACAAUAUACGUUUUUUUUUGUUACAAACCACACUUAAACGAUACCGUAUUAUCUAAUCCGCUUAUCCGCACCGUCCAAUAAAUAGUCACCAUACCAACCAAACAUGGUGCUGCCUCUAGACAGAGAGAAACCCUAGAAACCAAAAGAAAAAGAGAAGCAAUCGUGCCUCCUCCUUCUCCGACCACUCGCUUCCUCAGAUCGCGUGAACAUCACUCGAUUUCUCUCUUCUCUCCCUAUCAUCUCGCAGAUCCAAACCCCAACUCGCACCAAUCAGCGCGUGCCUCCUCCCUCCUCCCUCCUCCUUCUUCCUCUUCCUCCUCGCGACUAGAUUUCAGAUUGGUCUUUCCGAUUAUCCGCCUUGUUCUCCAAUCUCCGCACGAGGUAACUCCAUUCCAUCUUCUUACAGUUGAACUGCUCUCCUCGUCUCGAUCAGUUACUGCAAUUAGAUUCUGUAAUAAAAAAGAACAUGCCUUGAUGUAAUAACGAAUCACUACCUUCAACUACUUUUUUUAGAAACUAAUAAUGUGUAAUGUGUUUUGACUUAAACUCAACGAAAUGUUACAGUGCUUGUCAAUGGACAUAGAUCUUCGUCUACAUUCAGGUGACCAAGGCGAUGAUUCAGCCAGGGGACUUGACAACGUCCUGCACAACUCAGACAUAGACAUUGGCAAGAUCGAGGAAGAUGUCAUGGCCGCUACAACCGGAGAAUUGGUCGACUACACAGAAACCGUCAACCUCGAACCACUUAACGGCAUGGAGUUCGACUCACACGGCGAAGCGUACGCCUUCUACCAAGAGUACUCACGUGCCAUAGGGUUCAACACCGCGAUACAGAACAGUCGUAGGUCCAAGACCACGAGGGAGUUUAUUGACG
This 2371-nucleotide long non-coding RNA is filed under the name Brassica napus (rape). RNAcentral describes it as "long non-coding RNA (BNAP_LNC000699)". The record is from RNAcentral. Lineage: Eukaryota; Viridiplantae; Streptophyta; Magnoliopsida; Brassicales; Brassicaceae.